UUGGCCAAAUCAAUAAUGUUGAUUCUUUUAUUUUCGUGCGUCCCAUUUUUGUGGUUUCAGGAAAUCUAACAUUCUCGUGAAUAUAAGAUUCCAUUGUUUUACUUAAGUCAGUAUAUAUGGAAAAAUAUAUAUAUAUGAAAAUUUUAAUUCGUGUUUCCCUGAAGGAACAAAAAACUACGAAAAUUGGUACCCGACGAAUAAUUACGAAUCUACAGUAUUAGAAAGCAUAAUUCAUAUUCGAUUGAAAA
RNAcentral lists this long non-coding RNA (248 nucleotides) under Mytilus galloprovincialis (Mediterranean mussel). Lineage: Eukaryota; Metazoa; Mollusca; Bivalvia; Mytilida; Mytilidae. The record is from RNAcentral.